Hypanus sabinus (Atlantic stingray) is the source of this 522-nucleotide long non-coding RNA. RefSeq lists it as uncharacterized. The record is from RefSeq and is a predicted model, not a curated record. The transcript has 3 exons. Lineage: Eukaryota; Metazoa; Chordata; Chondrichthyes; Myliobatiformes; Dasyatidae.
CUCAUAACAAAUCGAUCACUCACGGAUCUGGACUUGAGUGUUAAUAAACUGGGAGAUUCAGGAGUGAAACUGGUGUCUGAAGCACUGAAGAACCCAGAGUGUAAAAUACAGAAACUGUGGCUGAGUGGUGUCCGUCUCACAGAUUCUGGUAUCGAGGAUCUCGUCUCAGCUAUCAUUACAAAUCGAUUACUAACGAGGCUGAACCUGGGAUCAAACUGGCUCACAGACCGAUCUGUCCCCGCUCUUCGUCGCCUUAUACUGGCAGUCCCGAGUCUGGAGCGGAUCGUGCUGGUGAAGAAUCGGUUCAGUCAAACCGGGGAGAAGGAACUGAAGUCUCUCCAAGAACCUAGGCCAGGACUGAGCGUGAUAUUUGACUAUCGGAAUAUGUGAAUAUUUUCCCCCGAGAGAUGAGGACAUUUAGGCAGAUUUCCCGGUUUUACCUUGAACGGUCGCCUUUAAUGGCAGCGCUCUGGAAUUAAUUCCAAUAGACUCCGGCUCCAGCCGAACGUGCUCUGACGUCAG